Molecule: ribosomal RNA, 253 nt
Filed under: uncultured bacterium
Lineage: Bacteria
Description: partial 16S ribosomal RNA
Rfam family: Bacterial small subunit ribosomal RNA
Source: RNAcentral
UACGGGGGGGGCAAGCGUUGUUCGGAAUUACUGGGCGUAAAGGGCUCGUAGGUGGCCAACUAAGUCAUACGUGAAAUCCCUCGGCUUAACCGGGGAACUGCGUCUGAUACUGGAUGGCUUGAGGUUGGGAGAGGGAUGCGGAAUUCCAGGUGUAGCGGUGAAAUGCGUAGAUAUCUGGAGGAACACCGGUGGCGAAGGCGGCAUCCUGGACCGGCAUUGACGCUGAACAGCGAAAGCCAGGGGAGCAAACGGG